RNAcentral lists this transfer RNA (73 nucleotides) under Ictidomys tridecemlineatus (thirteen-lined ground squirrel). RNAcentral's name for it is "Spermophilus tridecemlineatus (thirteen-lined ground squirrel) tRNA". It matches the Rfam family "tRNA". From Rfam's summary of the family: Transfer RNA (tRNA) molecules are approximately 80 nucleotides in length. Lineage: Eukaryota; Metazoa; Chordata; Mammalia; Rodentia; Sciuridae. The record is from Rfam by way of RNAcentral.
GGGGUUAUAGCUCAGUUGGUAGAGUGCCUGCCUCACACGCACAAGGCCCUGGGUUCAAUCCCCAGCACCACCC